CCUACGGGAGGCAGCAGUAGGGAAUCUUUCACAAUGGGCGAAAGCCUGAUGGAGCAACGCCGCGUGCAGGAUGAAGGCCUUCGGGUUGUAAACUGCUUUUAUAAGCGAGAAAUAUGAUGGUAACUUAUGAAUAAGGAUCGGCUAACUACGUACCAGCAGCCGCGGUCAUACGUAGGAUCCGAGCAUUAUCCGGAGUGACUGGGUGUAAAGAGUUGCGUAGGUGGCAUAAUAAGUAGCUAGUGAAAUCUGGUGGCUCAACCAUUCAGACUAUUAGCUAAACUGUUAAGCUCGAGACCGUUAGGGGUAACUGGAAUGUCUAGUGUAGGAGUGAAAUCCGUAGAUAUUAGAAGGAACACCAAUAGCGUAGGCAGGUUGCUGGGACGGUUCUGACACUAAGGCACGAAAGCGUAGGGAGCAAACGGGAUUAGAUACCCGAGUAGUC
This 442-nucleotide ribosomal RNA is filed under the name uncultured bacterium. Its description in RNAcentral is "partial 16S ribosomal RNA". It matches the Rfam family "Bacterial small subunit ribosomal RNA", at positions 338 to 795 of the family's 1533-position model. The record is from RNAcentral.